AAAGUUACCUGGCAGGGGAGAUACCAUGAUCACAAAGGUGGUUUUUCCAGGGCAAAGCUUAUCCAUUGCACUCUGGAUGCACGCCUGCAAUUUCCUCAAAUGUGGGCAACUCGACUGCAUAAUUUGAGGCAGUGGGGAACUGUGUUCGUUCUCUCCCCUU
Small nuclear RNA from Suncus etruscus (white-toothed pygmy shrew), 160 nucleotides. RefSeq annotates it as U1 spliceosomal RNA. NCBI's taxonomy places the organism in Eukaryota, Metazoa, Chordata, Mammalia, Eulipotyphla, Soricidae. The record is from RefSeq and is a predicted model, not a curated record. The transcript has a single exon.